GAUGAACGCUGGCGGCGUGCCUAAUACAUGCAAGUCGAGCGAACAGAUGAGGAGCUUGCUCCUCUGACGUUAGCGGCGGACGGGUGAGUAACACGUGGAUAACCUACCUAUAAGACUGGGAUAACUUCGGGAAACCGGAGCUAAUACCGGAUAAUAUAUUGAACCGCAUGGUUCAAUAGUGAAAGACGGUUUUGCUGUCACUUAUAGAUGGAUCCGCGCCGCAUUAGCUAGUUGGUAAGGUAACGGCUUACCAAGGCAACGAUGCGUAGCCGACCUGAGAGGGUGAUCGGCCACACUGGAACUGAGACACGGUCCAGACUCCUACGGGAGGCAGCAGUAGGGAAUCUUCCGCAAGGGGCGAAAGCUUGACGGAGCAACGCCGCGUGAGUGAUGAAGGUCUUCGGAUCGUAAAACUCUGUUAUUAGGGAAGAACAAAUGUGUAAGUAACGAUGCACGUCUGGACGGUACCUAAUCAGAAAGCCACGGCUAACUACGU
This 496-nucleotide ribosomal RNA is filed under the name uncultured bacterium. RNAcentral describes it as "partial 16S ribosomal RNA". It matches the Rfam family "Bacterial small subunit ribosomal RNA", at positions 28 to 506 of the family's 1533-position model. The record is from RNAcentral.